AUGUAUUGUUCCUUUGGUGAUUGUGAUUGUAUUGGGCUCCCCUUAAUUGCUUGCGAAGGGAAUCCAUGCUUGGGAUGAUAAAAUGUUCUUAUGUUGACCAAAAAAAAAAAAAAAACAAAACCAAUGGAACAAAUGUAAACACCGUCGCAACCACCACCGGUAAUUGAACACAACCUCAUUCCCUUACAAAAACUCAUACUCACCUAGGGUUCACAACCCCUAACUUCAUAUCUAUCCCUCUUUCUCCUUCACCAGUUCACCCACCCAUGUACCUCCAUACACGCCACCGCCAUUUCCACUGUGGUUCUUCUUGAACGUUGUAGAACAUCGCCGUCUUUCUCUCUCUAGAACGUAUAUGUUUACAAAGUCCCUGUAAAAAAACCAUCUUGUUGAACAACCACGUGGUCGCUACCGAAGCCGGAUCUGGUAUAGAUCUAGACACGCAGUCUCCUCGUCUUCGUCAGAAACCCACCGACAGUCACCGCCACUCUAGGAGGUCCACCGACGCCGUUGAAAUCGGUGUCGGCGGUUCUUCCUCCGAAGUUUAACGGUUUCUUCUGGUGGCCAAAACGAUUUAGCAUACUUUUGGCCAGAAAAUAAAUAAAUUUCUGAUAUGUAAUUGACCCGAUCUCUCUGUCAUUCAUCGGUGUAGAAAACUGCAAGUGUGAGUUUACUUUGGUUCUUUCUUACUCUAAUUUCAACAUAUUAACGGCCGUUACCGUCAAUUCACUAUUGUUCAGUUAUGUUUGAAAUUAAUAUAGGUAUAUGAAUAUAGGUAUAUGAAUUAGCCUUUGUUUGACUGUAAAAGUCAAAACUGAAGUCUGUUACCAUACCUCUAACUUGCCACUAAGUUCAGAAGCCAAACGUUUAUUAAUGUCCUCAGAAUACAUUGUCCGGUACUCUUGUUCGAUAUACGCCCGUUGUGUUGCGUCUCGAUGAGCAAGAAUACCAAUCACAGCAGCAUUAUCACACCCAUAUCCUGGA
RNAcentral lists this long non-coding RNA (984 nucleotides) under Helianthus annuus (common sunflower). RNAcentral's name for it is "sRNA HanXRQr2_Chr13g0590471". Lineage: Eukaryota; Viridiplantae; Streptophyta; Magnoliopsida; Asterales; Asteraceae. The record is from RNAcentral.